Molecule: ribosomal RNA, 496 nt
Filed under: uncultured bacterium
Lineage: Bacteria
Description: partial 16S ribosomal RNA
Rfam family: Bacterial small subunit ribosomal RNA
Source: RNAcentral
GAUGAACGCUGGCGGCGUGCCUAAUACAUGCAAGUCGAGCGAACGGACGAGAAGCUUGCUUUUCUGAUGUUAGCGGCGGACGGGUGAGUAACACGUGGAUAACCUACCUAUAAGACUGGGAUAACUUCGGGAAACCGGAGCUAAUACCGGAUAAUAUUUUGAACCGCAUGGUUCAAAAGUGAAAGACGGUCUUGCUGUCACUUAUAGAUGGAUCCGCGCUGCAUUAGCUAGUUGGUAAGGUAACGGCUUACCAAGGCAACGAUGCAUAGCCGACCUGAGAGGGUAAUCGGCCACACUGGAACUGAGACAGGGUCCAGACUCCUACGGGAGGCAGCAGUAGGGAAUCUGGCGCAAUGGGCGAAAGCCUGACGGAGCAACGCCGCGUGAGUGAUGAAGGUCUUCGGAUCGUAAAACUCUGUUAUUAGAGAAGAACAUAUGUGUAAGUAACUGUGCACAUCUUGACGGUACCUAAUCAUAAAGCCCCGGCUAACUACGU